This 467-nucleotide ribosomal RNA is filed under the name uncultured bacterium. RNAcentral describes it as "partial 16S ribosomal RNA". It matches the Rfam family "Bacterial small subunit ribosomal RNA", at positions 29 to 507 of the family's 1533-position model. The record is from RNAcentral.
ACGAACGCUGGCGGCGUGCUUCACACAUGCCAGUCGAACGGAAAGGCCCUGCUUUUGUGGGGUGCUCGAGUGGCGAACGGGUGAGUAACACGUGAGUAACCUGCCCUUGACUUUGGGAUAACUUCAGGAAACUGGGGCUAAUACCGGAUAGGAGCUCCUGCUGCAUGGUGGGGGUUGGAAAGUUUCGGCGGUUGGGGAUGGACUCGCGGCUUAUCAGCCUGUUGGUGGGGUAGUGGCUUACCAAGGCUUUGACGGGUAGCCGGCCUGAGAGGGUGACCGGCCACAUUGGGACUGAGAUACGGCCCAGACUCCUACGGGAGGCAGCAGUGGGGAAUAUUGCACAAUGGGCGGAAGCCUGAUGCAGCAACGCCGCGUGCGGGAUGACGGCCUUCGGGUUGUAAACCGCUUUCGCCUGUGACGAAGCGUGAGUGACGGUAAUGGGUAAAGAAGCACCGGCUAACUACGUG